AAACACAGAACACAAAGGUCAGAGAGCAGAUCCCUGAGCUUUCAUCGGACCGCCAGCUGACCGGAUUGUACUCACCUCCCAGGAUUGUCUCCAGAACCUCCAGGACCGGUUGGGACGCUGCCCGAUGAAGAGGAAGCCAACCAUGGCUAUCUGACUCCCUGAAGGCGAAGACUCCGACUGGCUGCCAGCGUCAUGAUACAUACUGAUCCUCAUGUGCAGCUGCAACUUCUCUUUAGCUUUAAGUUCUUAAC
This is a long non-coding RNA of Austrofundulus limnaeus, 251 nucleotides long. RefSeq lists it as uncharacterized. The record is from RefSeq and is a predicted model, not a curated record. The transcript has 3 exons. Lineage: Eukaryota; Metazoa; Chordata; Actinopteri; Cyprinodontiformes; Rivulidae.